Molecule: ribosomal RNA, 253 nt
Filed under: uncultured bacterium
Lineage: Bacteria
Description: partial 16S ribosomal RNA
Rfam family: Bacterial small subunit ribosomal RNA
Source: RNAcentral
GACAGAGGCCCCGAGCGUUACUCGGAAUUACUGGGCUUAAAGGGUGCGUAGGCUGAUCCGAAAGUGCUUUGUGAAAUCCCCCGGCUCAACCGGGGAACAGCGGGGCAUACUACGGAUCUUGAGGCAGGUAGGCGCCGAGGGAACAGUAGGUGUAGCGGUGGAAUGCGCAGAUAUCAGGAGGAACACCGGUGGCGAAGGCGGGUCUCUGGGCAGUAACUGACGCUGAGGAGCGAAAGCGUGGGGAGCGAACAGG